AUUGAACGCUGGCGGCAGGCCUAACACAUGCAAGUCGAGCGGAUGAAGGGAGCUUGCUCCUGGAUUAAGCGGCGGACGGGUGAGUAAUGCCUAGGAAUCUGCCUGGUAGUGGGGGAUAACGUCCGGAAACGGGCGCUAAUACCGCAUACGUCCUGAGGGAGAAAGUGGGGGAUCUUCGGACCUCACGCUAUCAGAUGAGCCUAGGUCGGAUUAGCUAGUUGGUGGGGUAAAGGCCUACCAAGGCGACGAUCCGUAACUGGUCUGAGAGGAUGAUCAGUCACACUGGAACUGAGACACGGUCCAGACUCCUACGGGAGGCAGCAGUGGGGAAUAUAGGACAAUGGGCGAAAGCCUGAUCCAGCCAUGCCGCGUGUGUGAAGAAGGUCUUCGGAUUGUAAAGCACUUUAAGUUGGGAGGAAGGGCAGUAAGUUAAUACCUUGCUGUUUUGACGUUACCAACAGAAUAAGCACCGGCUAACUUCGUG
RNAcentral lists this ribosomal RNA (484 nucleotides) under uncultured bacterium. RNAcentral describes it as "partial 16S ribosomal RNA". It matches the Rfam family "Bacterial small subunit ribosomal RNA", at positions 30 to 507 of the family's 1533-position model. The record is from RNAcentral.